This 629-nucleotide ribosomal RNA is filed under the name Serratia liquefaciens. RNAcentral's name for it is "bacterial SSU rRNA". It matches the Rfam family "Bacterial small subunit ribosomal RNA", at positions 898 to 1524 of the family's 1533-position model. The record is from RNAcentral. Lineage: Bacteria; Pseudomonadati; Pseudomonadota; Gammaproteobacteria; Enterobacterales; Yersiniaceae.
AACUCAAAAAGGAAUUGACGGGGGCCCGCACAAGCGGUGGAGCAUGUGGUUUAAUUCGAUGCAACGCGAAGAACCUUACCUACUCUUGACAUCCAGAGAAUUCGCUAGAGAUAGCUUAGUGCCUUCGGGAACUCUGAGACAGGUGCUGCAUGGCUGUCGUCAGCUCGUGUUGUGAAAUGUUGGGUUAAGUCCCGCAACGAGCGCAACCCUUAUCCUUUGUUGCCAGCACGUAAUGGUGGGAACUCAAAGGAGACUGCCGGUGAUAAACCGGAGGAAGGUGGGGAUGACGUCAAGUCAUCAUGGCCCUUACGAGUAGGGCUACACACGUGCUACAAUGGCGUAUACAAAGAGAAGCGAACUCGCGAGAGCAAGCGGACCUCAUAAAGUACGUCGUAGUCCGGAUCGGAGUCUGCAACUCGACUCCGUGAAGUCGGAAUCGCUAGUAAUCGUAGAUCAGAAUGCUACGGUGAAUACGUUCCCGGGCCUUGUACACACCGCCCGUCACACCAUGGGAGUGGGUUGCAAAAGAAGUAGGUAGCUUAACCUUCGGGAGGGCGCUUACCACUUUGUGAUUCAUGACUGGGGUGAAGUCGUAACAAGGUAACCGUAGGGGAACCUGCGGCUGGAUC